GGUAUCAAGACAGGUAAACCAGUCUGGACAUGUAAAAAUGAUACCAAAAGGGUGAGAACUGUUUGUAGAGACUCGUGUCCUUGGUUUGUUUUUGCAUCAAUUGAGAGGGCCCUUGGUACAUCAGAUUUGGUGGUAAAGACAAUGCAUGAUGUGCAUGAGAAUUGCAAUCACACUUGGAAGAAUAAAAACAUGACUUCUACGUGUGUGACAACUCGUAAAAUUUCUUAUAUUUUUCUUAAAAAUUUUCUUUUAUUUGGAAAUUAUUACUUUAUAAUGGCCCUACUACCCAAUCACCCCACAAUAAGUGUAAAUGAACAUAGAAUUAAGGAUUUUUCCUUUCGUUUUCAAGUUAUCGAAAAUUAGUGUUUUUACGCCUAUCCGUAGUGUGACUAUCCGGUACAGAGGGUGGAUCAAAUUUGGUGAUUAAGAGUGAGUUUUAGUGAUAUUAAAUGUGUGAUUAGAAGUGAUAAUAAUAAGUUAGUGAAUUAUAAGUUAAAAUCCUAGUAUACGCGAUUUAAGAAAAAUCGGCUCGAACCGACGGGUAUCGUUUGCUACCGAUUGAACCCACCAUUUGACCACCAUUUUUAUCAAGUUAAUCUCAUUGUUAUUGGAGCUUAAAUAUCAGCUCUAAAGCUGAUCAAAGUGGCCGAAAAUUUUGACCAAGGAAAAUAAAAAAAAUUGAGAUGGAAAUUGGUAGUGAUAAGUAGCACUAAUCCAAGAACCUUUGACCCAAACUAUGACUAAACCUUAAAACCAUCUUGGAGCUUCAUUCUUCUUUAUUUUUUUCAGCUUGUGGCCGAACCUAGGAGAGAAAAAAAGAAGAGAAAGAACUUCAAUUUCAUCUUGGGUUUUGCUUGAUUGAGUGAGAAAAACAAAAUUCUAAACCGAUUAAAUCUUUCUUUGAGCACUUGGAAAGUUUGGUGUGUAAAAGGUUACAAGGAGAGGUGGUGGAUAACUCUUCCAAGCAUCUUUGAGAGGUAUAUUGGCUGCCACAUUUAUUUCCCUUAAUCUUGUUUAAGUUGAGUAGUAACUUGUAAUCUUGCUUGUGAUGCCUAAGUCAAGUGAUUUUGAUGAUUGAGGUGAUGAAUUUUGAGUUAGGGUUUUGAAUAAUUCACUUAUAAUUCUUUCGUUUGGAUGGUAUAUGGUAUAUAUAAUCUUGUAUAGGAGGUUGUAGUAGUGAUUUAAGCUAGAAAGGUGAAAUUAUACUUUGAACUCCUUAAAUUCCAGAAAUGAAACUCUUCACUGCCCUGUUCUGUUCGGUAAGGUUUGACCAUGAGAGAGGCUGAAUUAGCCUUAGCACAAAACAUGAAAGUUGUAGAUAAUGAUAUUUUAUAGCUGUCUGUAAAAUUUCAACUCAAUCCGAGCACUAUAACACAUGAAAAGAUAAAAAUACCCCUGACUACCAUAGGUAGAGUUUUGUGACAGUUUUGACAUUUCACCAAUCUGACCGCGUCUGUUCACCCUGAUCCAUACUGAAUUAGUAUUUGGCCAAAACGCAGAAGUUGUAGUACUAUGUCUUAGCUUUCUAACAGUCCUGAAAACGCCUUAAUCAGACUUCGAUAACUUGAGUUAUUGUCGUUUACGCAUAGUGCGGUUAACUAGCCCGAAUAUGAGAUUCUGGUUCUGUAAUUUGAAUUUUUGACCUGGAUACACUACGAACUGGACUGAGUGGUCUUCAUCAAAGUUGUAGGCCUUUAUUUUAGCUUCAAAACGAUAUAAAUUGUACCCUAAUUCGAUAAGCGUAGCUUCGAUUGUGCCCGUUACGCUAAGCGACGGCAAAUCUGUCUUUUGUUUUCUGACUUAAAUUUCAUUUUCGGACAUUUUCCUACCUUGAAUUUGUGCUUGUACGACUUUGAUCCUAUUGAACGGCUAUGGAAAUGAGAUUAUUUUGUGUGUGAUUUUGGGACUGAUUGAGAAAAAGAGUGAAGCCAUAAAUUGAUGUAAAAUAGGUAAAUAUAAAGGGCGUGCCGCCCAAAUUUACGCUCGAGAGUUAGGUAGAUAUACUUGCGACUCAAGUAAAGCUUGAGAGCGAAUACCACGUGAACCAUCUAGGCUAUUGCGUUUUCUUUUAUCGAGGUAUAUAAAUUAGAAUUUGGCCGAACUUGUACCCUUCAAAAAUGAAAGUAAUUAUCGAUAGAAAUACGUUUUCCUCGUUCUUUCGACUCCAAUAGGAGUUCUAAAGUUUUAACCGCUUCUUUAUCGAAACUAAACGAGCGAGCAUAAAUUUUUCAGAAUUUGAUAAGUAUCUUGAAUACUACUUAAACGAGUUGCAUUUACUUAAUUUUUUUGAAACGAAACUCCUAUGUUUCGAAUUCUAGAGAGUUUUACAUUCGUAAAUGAUAUUUUAUCGCAGAUUUGGACUCCAACCAAAGAGUUGGACUUGAACGUGACUUUUGAGAGGCACUAGACCUUUAGUGAGUGCUUCCAAAUACCUGAUUGAACAGGACACUUGUUGUCAAUACUUGAUCAAUGUAAAUACAUGAUAUGUGAUUUGUUUGAUCGGCCAAGAGUGUACUUUAUCACACUUGUCCUAAUAUGGUAUAUACUUAUUUAUUAUUGCAAUUAACGUGAUAUACUUGUACUUGAGUUGUAAGUGUGGAGCGGCAGUAUGUACUACACUCAAUCCGAGUAGGAGGUGCCUCUCAUUCCCGUCUCCGUACUUUUAUUUUGAUUCAGUCGAUUGGAGAUGUUAUCUCAUCGAAUUCUUGGAAACCUAAACCCCAUUGACUAAUUAAUCGAGUCGAGCCGGCAAGGGUUUGGUCAAUUAGAUAACGAACCAUGGGUAGUUAGUGAUGUCCAGUGGAGUGUUAUCUUUUCGACUAAUCGGUAUACUCGAGUAUUAUCACCAGUGUUUAUCGUAGAGUUCGGGCCCGAUAAUGGAUUUGGUUGGUGGACGGAGAUUGGAGUUAAGUGGUGUACUACUGGACUAGUUACUUUACUUGAAAGUUGACGGAGUGUCAACUAAUACUUGAUCAAGUUCUGGUGAAGAAAUGGGAAUUCGGCUCCUGAGAGCCAUCUGUAUCCUUAUACAUUGAUUGUUAUUCAAAGUGUUAUUGUUGUUUUGGAAAACUAGGGAUGUACGCGAGUCGAGCUACUCGCGAGUAGCUUGGUCAACGGCUUGGCUCGAACUCGGGUUGACCGAGUUCCAGCCGAGUUUCGAGUAGCUCGAUUGGCGUUCGAGUCUCAAAUUUUUGGCUCAAGACUUGUCGAGUAGAUUGUCGAGCCGGGCUAUUUAUAUAAUAUAUUUAUAAUUUAAAUAAUAUAUAUGUAUUAUAAUUAUAAAAUGACUAUUAUGGAUAUAGGUUAUAUGAAAUUUACAAUAUACUCUUCUUUAUAAUAAAAUUUUAUAAGGGUAAAAAAAUAAUAACAUAAUUAUAAAAAUACCUAAAAAGAAAAAAUGUCUAAAAAAUGCCUCAAUUUUUUGGUCGAGUCGAGUCAAAAAACUUGAUUAGACUCGGUUUGAUAAGACUUGACUAAGGGUCGAGCCUUAUCGAGUCGAGUUUCGAGCUUAGAGCGAGUACAUCGAGUCAAAUUUCGAGUAUCAAUUUUUUUGACUCGAUCGAGAUCGAGUUGAGCUCGAGCCUAGGGAUAUAUGAGUCGAGUCGAGCUUGAGUAUAGCAUUACUCGAGUUUGACUCGGCUCGAUUACAUCCCUAUGGAAAACAAAAAGAGUUUUCACUCGCUCAUUUUGACAUUUGCUAUUUGAAGUGUUAUUGCUCACUUUCAUGAACUUGUUAUACUCACUAUUUUGCUACGUGAUAUUUGUACUUUUCAAUAAUGGUCAACUUGCUAUUUGGAACCUCACUGGGCUUUUAGCUCAUUUCACGCCAUUUAUUUUCCUUACAUGGGGUACGAGCGAGACGUGAGACUUGUACAGACUAGCGUAGUCUAGUUUUUUUUUUAUUUUGAUAUUGUACUCACGCCAACACCCGUCUAGGGUUGAUUUUAGUUUGGUUAUAAAUAAUUUAACGUUUUGGGCAUAUAUAAAUUUGUAGCUGGAUUUGAACAUCAAUGUAUAUGUAAAGUUUGAGAUUGUUGUUUCAUUUCUUCUCUAUGGACGCGGUAUCUUUCUCGAGUUACGCGUGAGUGAGUCCUGACGAGAGUUGGGCAGGCGGUCCGCUAAACCCUGGGGUACGCCUUAGGGGGAGGUGGAGUCGUCACAACGUGGCUAUCCAAUAGGUAUAUGGAGAUAAUCAAGUCUAACACAAAAAUGCCCGUUAGGGAGUUUAGGCAAACUGUUUAUGAGGAUUAUGAGGUUGAGAUUUCUAAAUGGGUGGCUAGAAAAACAAGAGCCAAGACUAUACAGCUUAUUAAGGGGUCUGCAGAGGUACAAUACAAGAAAAUUUGGGAAUAUUGCAAUGAGAUAAAGAAGACACGUGACGGAAGUAUUAUGGAGGUCAUGUUUACCCCAUUCAGACUGCCUACAAGUAAUCCAAGAUUCAUGCGACUAUACUGCUGCCUUAGGCCACUUAAGCAAGGCUUUAAGGAUGGUUGUAGGCCUAUUAUAGGCUUAGAUGGAUGCCAUCUAAAAGGCACUUAUCCAGGACAAUUACUUACUGCUCUUGGAGUGGACCCUAACAAUGGUUAUUGGCCAAUUGCAUGGGCAGUUGUGGAGAAAGAAGCCACAGAACAAUGGAAAUGGUUUCUGAAGUUGUUGAGUGAGGAUUUGGAAAUAGAAAACCAAUACCACUACACUUUUAUCUCUGACCAACAAAAGGUUAUGCACUAUAUCAUUGUAAUCUGGUUUCUAUCGUCAAGUUAGGUGUUUACUUUUCUAUUUAUAUUGUAAGGACUGGACAGAACAUUAGUUUAGGUGCUUCCAAAACUGUGAGCACCGAUAUUGUGUGCAGCAUUUAUAUAAAAAUUUUAAGAAAAAACAUUCAGGAGACGCGUCGAAAGAGAGAUUUUGGAAUAUUGCAUAUUGUACUACAUCUAAGCACUUCAAUGAGGCAAUGUCAAACCUUGAGAUGUAUGACAAGGAAGCACAUAGCUGGGUGAAAAAGGCACCUCAUCCUCGGCAUUGGUGCAAGACAUUUUUUCCAAUUCAUACCAAAUGUGAUAUACUAGUAUAUCUUUCAAUGAUAUACUAGUCACUAUAUCAUUGUAAUCUGGUUUCUAUCAUCAAGUUAGGUGUUUACUUUUUUAUUUAUAUUGCAGGGACUGGACAGAACAUUAGCUUAGGUGCUUCCAAAACUGUAAGCACCGAUAUUGUGUGCAGCAUUUAUAUAAAAAUUUUAAGAAAAAACAUUCAGGAGACGCGUCGAAAGAGGGAUUUUGGAAUAUUGCAUAUUGUACUACAUCUGAGCACUUCAAUGAGGCAAUGUCAAACCUGGAGACGUAUGACAAGGAAGCACAUAGUUGGGUGAAAAAGGCACCUCAUCCUCGGCAUUGGUGCAAGACAUUUUUUCCAACUCAUACCAAAUGUGAUAUACUAGUCAAUAACCUUUGUGAAUCUUUCAAUGCUCAUAUCCUUGAAUUCAGAGAUCAUCCUAUAAUUUCACUACUGGAGACUAUCAGAGAAUAUAUUAUGGAUAGGAUUCAACAAAGAAAGGCAGCCAUGGAGAAAUGUAAAGGUCCUAUUGGACCAUUGCCCACCAAAAUUGUUGAUGAGAGGGUGAAGCAUUCAACUCACUGGAAUCCUAUUUGGAAUGCUGCUGUUGGUUAUCAAGUGAAGAGCCCUAAAUGAAACCAAUAUGAUGUAGACCUAAAAAAAAGGCAUUGCACGUGCAAAUUGUGGGCCGUAAGUGAAAUUUCUUGCUGUCAUGCAAUAGCAGCAAUUCAUAGGAAUAAUGGAAAUUCUUAUAACGAAGUUGAAGGUUGCUACAAUGCAGAUCUAUUUUUGAAGAUAUAUUGUAAUAUCUUCGAACCAAUUAGUGGUGAAAUUUUAUGGCCCCCAUCCAUCAUGUCUAUAUUGGACCCACCACUCACUGUUGCUCAACCUGAGAGGCCAAGAAAGGCUCGAAAGAGAGACAUCACAAAAGGAAAAAAUCAUGGUAGAAAACUGAGAAGGAGAAUUGUUAUACAUUGUAGAAAGUGUGGAAAGGUAGGUCACAAUACAGCUACAUGCUGCAAAGAAGGGUCUACUCAAUCUAAUCAAGUAGAAGAGGAUACUGAUAUUGGUGUACAUACUCCACAGGGUGCAGAAAAUUCUAAAAGUCCAAAGUCUUCUACGAGGCCAUCUAAAAGGCAGACUGUAAGUGUAUAGAAAUUGUGGUAUAUAUGAAAUGGUAGAUUAAAAUCUUACUUUUUGCUAUUUGCUGCCAUUGACAGGUUAGAAAGGACCAGUAAAAGAAGAAAAAAAGAAAUGUGCAGCGAUGAUCUCCUCAAGUUGACGAGGCAUAUGAGCAUCAACGUUCGGGAUUUGAAUUUGAACACCAACAUGAGCAUCAGAAGAGACACAUCAACAACAAGUGGAUCAGCAAGACCACCAAUCAUCAUUCCAGCAUGGCGCUAAUCUUCAAGAACAGCAGGCCUCUUGUAGCAUUCCUUUAACACAGAAACUACCUCAUAAGAGGCAGAAGCAGAAAAAUUCAACAAACCAGCCUUUAACAGAUAUUGAUAAAGGAUUUAUCAAUCUAAACUACACAUAUUUUGGCAGGCAACCUCCCUACCUCCCUUCACUAUUGGGAAUUGGAAGGGAAAAUGGAGUGGCAGGGGCAGAGGAAGAGCUGGUAGAUGAAGGGGAACUGGAGGUACAAAAGGAUAGACAGCAGCUUAAUACAACAACACCCACUGUUUUGCAAACCUAGCAGUACUUUAUUAUUGGAUCUUUUUUGACUGGGAAACGUCUUUUGUCUUUUGUAAUAGACAGCUUUUAACCAAGUAAUGGUUUUGUCCAACUGCUUAGCUUUUUCUGUAUAAGUGGAUUAGUUUUUUGUCUACUAAUUGUUAAAUGGUCAAGCUUGACUAUUGUUUUGACUGCUAUGUUGGAUGGUAUCCACUUGUAAAUGCAUAUAACAGGGCAUUUUGUUUUGUUUUGUUUUAUUCUGGUUUCUACUAUUAUUUUUAGCACUCAUUCAAUGUCAAUUGGAUGGUACAAUUUUUGUUGGAUGGUACCCACUAUUUUCUCUUGUAAAGCUAUGUUGGAUGGUACCCAUUGUUUUAUUCUGUUUUGUCUACUAAUUGUUAAAUGAAUGUCGUCUUCAUGUGUGGCUGCCAACCUGCCAUUACAAUUUCACAGCUACACCAGUUUAGAUCAAACUUCAUUCUAUUACUUCCAUUCUUCCAAAAGCAUAGAGUACAAUUCAACUGCAUAUUCGUUAGCCUAGCUAACACUACAAAAGGCCAAUACAGUGUGGCAAGAUUACAACACAAUUUUUACAUUAUCUUAAAAUCAGAUUACUCCAUCAGCAACUUGAUAGAUACAAUUUUCACAUGAACACAAUUUUCGUAGAGCUUCUUCAAUUUGCAGCAUUCCAGAAGUCCAUCUUUCAUCUCGAGGCCAAACCACCAUUAAUAAGAUUAAAACCCAAGAGAGUACCAGUAGUCUUACAAGCCACUUCCUAAUAUGCUUUUGUCUCGCCAAGUCGUGCUCCAUGUCCUUCACUUUCACCUUCAACUUUGCAGCUUUUGACUCCAAUUUGGUUAGUACAAUUUGCAAUUCAUCCUUUGGUUGCUCAGUUGCAUUCACCUUUCUUAGAAGAUCGGGUAUCACCUCAAUUGAGUGACGACACAUUUUCCCAUCGAUCCAAUCCCAACACUCGCAACCCCCAUCUGCUUAUACUGCAUACCUCCUGCCAGGAUUUCGAGAUGUCCACGAAGUCACCAUCUUUAUCGAUUUACCGUAGGGGCACAUAGGGAGAGUUGGAGUGUUCAAUCUCCUGAUUUUCGGCUCAAUUGAGACCAAAAAUCUACUAGUACCACUCCUACAAGUUUCAGAUGGAGUGAAAAUGGAGAAGAAGGAGAUUUUUAAGGCAAGUCCCUCUGCUGUGUUGACAAGAUUGCCCCUAACAAAUAUUAUGAGAGUAGUUCGUGAUGUCUCUCCCGUCCAUCUUAACAGCAAAAUUGGACGGAUGGACUAGAAAUAUACACUUUUUUUAAUUCGAGAAUUACAUUCGCGUAAUUAUUAGUUGGAGGAUUAAAAGUGUGUAAAAUUUAAAGUUGGAGAACCACCGCAAUUUUUUGCCCUAAAAAAUAUAUUCACAGAAAAAGCGAGAUUAGAUCUAGAAGUUGCAUAUGCAAGGUACUAGUAUAACUUACUCAAAAGUCUCUUUAAACUUUACAUAGUUUGUAGAGUGACACUUUUAAUUGUAUACUUUUGGCACUUUUAAUCAUAUAAUUUAAAUUAUAACUAAUUAUUAUACAUCUAACCCCACUUUUGUAAUCAAAUUAGGUGGUGAACUUUUCAAGAAUUUAGUGUUACCUUGCCCCCCAAAAAAAAAUAGAAUUUAAAGGAAAAGCAUAGUGCCUUUGAAGCCAAAAGGCAAGCAUGGUGCCUUUGAAGCCAAAAGCCCAUUUACAUGACUUCAUAAGGAGGGAGGAAGCAGAGUCGCCAACAAAAUCUCAUCAUCCCAUUUUUCCCGCCUAUCCGCCCUUUGUAUUUAAAAAACCCUUCUUCCCCGCCUCCUCCUUCUUAUGCUUCAUUCUAGGGUUUCUCGAUUCCUCUCUCUCUCUCUCUCUCUCUCAUAACCUGUAAGCUACUCAUCUGUUUGCUGAAAAAUGAAAUCCAGAAUCCGAAUCUGCAGCAGCAUCAGAUCACCGCCAUCCACAUUCUGCAGAUACUACUUGAAGCCCGGAGCAUUAGCCCAAUUCAGGAAUUCCAAAAUCACCGCCAAAUUCAAAGCAAAAGAAAAUUUGAAUUUUACCCAGAUUUCACUCUACAAACUCAAACCCACCUCUGAAUUGACCUUGCGGCCAUCUAUUUCCGACAUGGAGGCGAUUCCUUGUUUCACUUUUAGCUUCAAGAAUAACCGCAGUGCUCCUCGCUGCCUUCUCCGGAAGAAACUCAUCGCUGUCACCCCGAUAUUUUCCGAGUUGUAGUCGGAAACUUGAGUUGGGAUCUCUAAUUUCUUUUGUUCAUUUUUUUAUCCAUUAUCGGUUGUGAUUGUAGUAGCAAAGCUGAAAUUACAGUAAUCAUUAUACUAAAAAAAAUACCAUAUGUAUGAUGUAGAAACUCAAAAAUUAAUAAAAAAAAGUACUGUCUUUCUUCUUUCUUUUUUGAAUAUGGGUUGUUCAUUGGCAGUUAUCACCUAUGUUUAUAGUGGAUUGAUUAUAGAAGUAAUUCGUGCGGAACUCAGUUUUGUUUAAAUUUUUUUUCUCUUGUGGGUGACGGGUUUUAAAUCAAAUGAAGAACGAUGUCUAUGUUGGAGAGGUUUGAUAUUUUGCUUGUUUUAUUUUUACUAGUGCAAUGUGGAAAUGCCUAAGGUGUGUAAGUGUCCUACUUAGGGUAAUUUAAAUGGAUCAUCAAAUAGCAAUUUCUUCUCGUUCUGAUUUUCCCAGGCCUGGCAAGCAUCGAAUCACUAAUAGGACAAUGGAGCAAAGUAGAGGGUUUAAUUGACUUUGAGUUUCCUUAAUACAGGACUCUCAGCUCUCAAACACUCCAGUUAUGUUUGUACAGGAUAAGCUCAUUAAUAUAAAAGAAGACCAGUAUCAGUUUUUUUUUUUUUUUUUUGUCAAAAUGUCGCUUACUUUUCUAUUAAUAGUUAAUGCCUUUACAACAGUAUACAAAAGGGUGCAACUGCUCCAUCAGAACUGUGAUGCUCCUUUGAGCCACAGGGGGAAGGUUCUUUCCCACUUAACAUCAUGUAUCAGUUUGGUUGCAAAUUUUGCAAGCUUAAAACUAACUCUAUCUUCCUGCUGACUAACUAAUGAGAAUUUACACUUCCAAAAGGAUGCUUGAAGUUGCUUUAUAUCUCUGAUGAUUACUGCUAGCUGGGAUUCAUCUUCAGCAUCUUCAUUCAGUCUAUCUAUCAAGGCUUUACACUCAGAUUGGAUCUCUAAAGAAGCCCACUGUUUCUCCAUUGCAUAUAGCAGUCCUGCACGAAUUGCUAAAGCUUCAGUUAAGAUCCUAUCUCCACUGAAAGUCAAAGGAAUCGCCCUUGUCGCUGUUGGCUUCCUACUGUUAUCUCUGACUACUAUGCCUAAUCCUGCCUUUUUCCUCACUCUAUCAACAGCUCCACAGGUGGACAUUUUCAUAGCUCCUGGAAGCCCAGUAUCAGUGGCUGGAUAAUCUUUUAAAGGAUUUGAUUUGUUUCUUGGACAAAACUGCUAUAGACCUAAAGCUUUUCUGGCUCUUUCAUCUCCAGACUACAAAAUUAUCUUAGUCUGCUAAAGUCUGAACUAGAAGUUGAGGAGAAAUAUCUUGCUGUCUGUCCCAGAUAUUUCCUCCUUUGUGUCCUUUUUUCAGCUACAAGCCGAUGUUUCGUUUACAACUUGUAUUGUGGAUAUUCAUUAGUUUGUUGCCCAUGGUAUUUGCAUUUGAAGCUAGUUUGAGAUGUCUUAAUGAGCUCCAUGUCACCAUCAACAGCUCAUUAAAAGCUAAUUAUGCAAGCGGCACAAUGCGACUAGUCAUGAAAAGUUCAUUCGUUUAGCAUAUUUGCUAUUUAACUCUGUAGCUACUGGGAUCUCUAAUAAUAAUGUCUAUAGUUUGGUUUGAUGCUAAUGAAACCAAAGUAAGAAGAAGGCUCAUAUGUCCUCGAGAAAUUGGCAGAGCAAAUCAAUUGAUAGUAGCAGUAUCGAGAUGUUGCUGCAAGUUAUUUCAGCCAGCAGCCUGGGAGGUAACAUACAUAAAGGCUACACCCCAAAAAUGGUCCAGUCUCAUGGUGGCAUGGGAGCUUCCAGAAGGAAUGGCAGAAAUUGAAGAUACUUGAUUUUCUUCACAUACUAGGAAAAGAGCCAUUUUUCCAACAGUUGUACUCUGCAUUUUUCAAAGUUAAGCUAGGAAGAAGUAAAGUACAGAGCAAAUUAUCUAAGACUACCUCAUAGCAGCCAAGAGCAUAUGAGUUUAGAUUAUCUGAAUAAUUAGCUUUCAAGCUGACUUGAGAUGAACUAUUGUGUAAUCAUAAUGACAUCUUUUGUAGAUAUAGGUCCCAGAAAAAUGAUCAAGCUACUGGACAUAAAAAUGAAUUUCAUAUGGUGAAUGUUUUACAUAUAAACUGAGAUCUCAUGCCACGAAGUAAACUAACCAUCAGAUGAAGAAAAAAAAAUGCCCGGUGCAGUGUCAAGUAAUUCUGCUGUUUCUGUAGCAGUAGAUUUAUGAAAACAAUUUAAAAUGUCCUAGCGAUCAAGAAAAUAUGUUGAGCUAAAACUUUCUGAAUUAAUAUAAGAGGUAUUACACAAGAUGACUCAAAAAUAAAAGUUUCAAAGAUGCAGAAACACUCUCAUGUCUCCAAAAUACAUUGUGGUUCUCAUAUUGCAUGAAGUUUGUAUGUGGUUGGAAGUUACAACACGAAACUGUCUACUCUACUUUACAGUUCUUAAAUAAGCAUAGUUUGAUGAAAAUGGAAUUUUCAACAAAAAUACCUAUAGUGAAGCACAAUCAUGGGAGACAAUUAGAAUGCUCAAGUCAAAGCUUUGGCUCCAGCAACAAUUUCCAAUAUCUCUCCUGUAAUCUUGGCCUGACGCUCUCUGUUGUAGGCUAUAGACAGGGAUUUCUUCAAUUCACUAGCAUUGUCAGUCGCAUUGCUCAUUGCAGUCAUCCUAGCAGCAAGCUCACUAGCCAGUGACUCCUGCAAUGACCUCAAAAUUUGACUAUUUAAGUAAAGAGGGAGUAAGGCAUCAAGGAUCUGAACAGGGUCCUGCUCAAAUUGCAAGAUCGCCGAAAACUCUGCUGUUUUAGUCCUCAUAAUGUCUCUUUCCACUGUCAAUUUGCCUUCCUUGGUUGUCAAUCUGAAGAACUCAUCCUCGGCUGCAUCAACACAGUUCCCAUUUAUGUCACAGAUCUCUCCUUUUGGAGACAACGGAAGCAGAGUGUGAAUCACUGGUUCGGCCUUCACUAAUGAAACGAACUUAGUGUACAAAAGCUCUACCUUAUCCACCUCUUCACUUAUGAAAAGGGAGAAGACAUCAUCUGCAAUUGCUUGAGCUUCUUUAGCAGUGGGAAGAGAAGUACCAUCAAGAAAUCUGUCUACCGGAAUAUAAGGCCUGCGGAUAAAAUAUGCGUUACCCUUUUUCCCCACACUGAUUAUAGUGUAAUCAAGGCCAAGUCCCUUCAAUUCUGCUA
Molecule: long non-coding RNA, 12159 nt
Filed under: Coffea arabica (coffee)
Lineage: Eukaryota; Viridiplantae; Streptophyta; Magnoliopsida; Gentianales; Rubiaceae
Description: long non-coding RNA (CARA_LNC006433)
Source: RNAcentral